RNAcentral lists this ribosomal RNA (1454 nucleotides) under uncultured bacterium. RNAcentral's name for it is "bacterial SSU rRNA". It matches the Rfam family "Bacterial small subunit ribosomal RNA". The record is from RNAcentral.
GAUGAACGCUAGCUACAGGCUUAACACAUGCAAGUCGAGGGGCAGCAUGGUCUUAGCUUGCUAAGGCCGAUGGCGACCGGCGCACGGGUGAGUAACACGUAUCCAACCUGCCGUCUACUCUUGGACAGCCUUCUGAAAGGAAGAUUAAUACAAGAUGGCAUCAUGAGUCCACAUGUUCACAUGAUUAAAGGUAUUCCGGUAGACGAUGGGGAUGCGUUCCAUUAGAUAGUAGGCGGGGUAACGGCCCACCUAGUCUUCGAUGGAUAGGGGUUCUGAGAGGAAGGUCCCCCACAUUGGAACUGAGACACGGUCCAAACUCCUACGGGAGGCAGCAGUGAGGAAUAUUGGUCAAUGGGCGAGAGCCUGAACCAGCCAAGUAGCGUGAAGGAUGACUGCCCUAUGGGUUGUAAACUUCUUUUAUAAAGGAAUAAAGUCGGGUAUGCAUACCCGUUUGCAUGUACUUUAUGAAUAAGGAUCGGCUAACUCCGUGCCAGCAGCCGCGGUAAUACGGAGGAUCCGAGCGUUAUCCGGAUUUAUUGGGUUUAAAGGGAGCGUAGAUGGAUGUUUAAGUCAGUUGUGAAAGUUUGCGGCUCAACCGUAAAAUUGCAGUUGAUACUGGAUAUCUUGAGUGCAGUUGAGGCAGGCGGAAUUCGUGGUGUAGCGGUGAAAUGCUUAGAUAUCACGAAGAACUCCGAUUGCGAAGGCAGCCUGCUAAGCUGCAACUGACAUUGAGGCUUCGAAAGUGUGGGUAUCAAACAGGAUUAGAUACCCUGUAAGUCCACACGGUAAACGAUGAAUACUCGCUGUUUUGCGAUAUACUGCAAGCGGCCAAAGCGAAAGCGUUAAGUAUUCCACCUGGGGAGUACGCCGGCAACGGUGAAACUCAAAGGAAUUGACGGGGGGCCCGCACAAGCGGAGGAACAUGUGGUUUAAUUCGAUGAUACGCGAGGAACCUUACCCGGGCUUAAAUUGCAGAUGAAUUACGGUGAAAGCCGUAAGCCGCAAGGCAUCUGUGAAGGUGCUGCAUGGUUGUCGUCAGCUCGUGCCGUGAGGUGUCGGCUUAAGUGCCAUAACGAGCGCAACCCUUGUUGUCAGUUACUAACAGGUUCCGCUGAGGACUCUGACAAGACUGCCAUCGUAAGAUGUGAGGAAGGUGGGGAUGACGUCAAAUCAGCACGGCCCUUACGUCCGGGGCUACACACGUGUUACAAUGGGGGGUACAGAGGGCCGCUACCACGCGAGUGGAUGCCAAUCCCAAAAACCUCUCUCAGUUCGGACUGGAGUCUGCAACCCGACUCCACGAAGCUGGAUUCGCUAGUAAUCGCGCAUCAGCCACGGCGCGGUGAAUACGUUCCCGGGCCUUGUACACACCGCCCGUCAAGCCAUGGGAGCCGGGGGUACCUGAAGUGCGUAACCGCGAGGAGCGCCCUAGGGUAAAACUGGUGACUGGGGCU